Brassica oleracea var. oleracea is the source of this 830-nucleotide long non-coding RNA. RefSeq lists it as uncharacterized. NCBI's taxonomy places the organism in Eukaryota, Viridiplantae, Streptophyta, Magnoliopsida, Brassicales, Brassicaceae. The record is from RefSeq and is a predicted model, not a curated record. The transcript has 4 exons.
AUUAGGUCCCGGAUUACAUAGAGUUCUUUGGAACAAAGAAACUGCGUCUAUUAUCGCCGUGUCCGUUCGGUUCUCAUCUUUCCGAUCUACUUCUCUGUAACGGGUUCAGUUUUGGUUGACCUCCUCCAUUAAUUCAAGCAUUAAACUGCACUCCACCUCUCCUCCCACUCAGCCUCAUUUAUGCAGCCUUAUCAUCGUCUAAGGGAUGGAGCUAUGUUGGAGGUAGACUACUUUCUGCGGUUAUUACAUACGAUGAGAGCGGAUGGUAUGUGGGUGAAGCCACCAGAGGUUUGCAUUUCAAAGUCUAUUCCUUUGUUAAUUUAGACAAUACAAACAAAAGUAACCCACAAGUUUACUCACUACAAAGUUACCACCAGUUUCCAUAGUUCUUGUCAUUUGUGAAUCCUUGAAGUGGAAAUUUCUGAUCCUUAUACUUUCUAAGAGAUGUAAGAGUUGUGGAAGUAACUGUGAAUGCAAAGCAAAAUCUAUUUAAACACACAAGGAUGUGAACUAUAUCGACUAGACGUCAAGUGUUUAAGGAUAGUCUGCGAGGAGGAGUACUAAUUGCUCAAAACAUAGAUGUUUCUUUGGAUAAUUUCCCUUAUUUUCUAAGUGCUACUACGAAGGAUGUUCUAAAAGCAUGGAUGUCUGUCCAUAUGAAGGGUGGAAGCAAGUUCACAAAGUAUGCAUCAGACUUGCCUACAACGUGUAUCUUGCUGUCUAGACCAGCAGGCUCUGAGAUAUAUCAGGAAAUGUUGGCAAAAGUGCUUGCGGAAAAUUUUGAGGCCAAGUUGAUGAUCGUUUACUCUCUUUUGUUGUCUCUUUUGUUG